GUAAGAUUACGCUCUGUCAUCAAAAGGGAAAUCUAAUUUUGGAUGAUUCAAGCAUGAGACGAGGUGCCACAAUUUUCUCAUAUGCGAAUCAAGGAAGGUAAGAAAGAAAAGAAAGCCUUAUUCAAUAAAAUUUUUAAUCCAUUCUCAUGAGACAAUUAUAGUACAUUUAAUUAUGCUAAUUAAAAUUAGCCACGACGAAGACAUAAUUUGGCCCUGUAGUCCAUUUAAGCAAACUUUAAAAUCAAAAUGAGAUUACUGUACAUCAAAAGUAGCAAACAGGAAGAAAAUAGCAUUCUAGUUUUUUUUAAACAAUCAACUAUCAUUAAGCGAGAGUGAUACAUGAACAAGCCGACAACAAGCAAAGAUUUAUUCAACUUUAGCGAAGGAAAUUCGAGUUUGGAAUGAGGAGAGCUUGGAAUAAGGAGAAACCUAGGGAAAUCGAGUUAGGAUAGUCAAGGUUUUCGCUAGAGCUCAACUAUUCCUACUCUCAUUCUUAUUAAAUCCACAGUCAAUCUAACAAGGGAGACAACUUGAUAUUUAAUCUAGAAUCGGCAGGAUUCUACGAGAAACUAUUAUAACCCAUCAAUCACACAGUUAAAUAGAUUGAGUGGACUAACGCCUCUCUCUGUGCAGCAAAAUAGGACUCGAGCUUCAUCCGGAAUCACAACCACCAAGAAAUGACGUCUUCGUCAACUCAGAAACCCUACCUGGUCGAUGAACUUGUCGAAAAAAAAGAUUUUUACUAUAAAACAAGACUGUUUGCUUCUUCCAAAGGGUAUUUUCCCCUCCUAGGCCUCCAAAGAAAAACCUUCUUCUUCAUUUUCUCAAGAAUGUUUAACCCACAGUUUUCUACACCCCCAAUUUCGAACCACCUUUAAGACCCACCAAGGAAAUCCCCAAAACAAUAGCUCCUAGAAGAAACUCUAAUUUCUCAACCCUAAUACCCCAACCUCUGAUUUUUGAACCCCAAGAGCCAAAAAAACUAAUUUUCUGAAGCUCAAAAAUCCAACCCUAGAAAGAACCCUUGAGCCGAUCAAGCCCCUAGAAGAGUGACCCAAUGGGUCCUUAUAUAAAAGACGAAUUAGGAGCUGUUUGGGAAUUUGAAAAAGAAAGGAAUUUGAAUUCCAAUGAUGGGAUAACGUUGAGCUGUAAUUUGUACUAAAAUCAUACCAAGUUGUUGAGAUAUUCGAAUUUUGAACAAUUAGUAAUUGAGGAGCGAAUUGAAAGCUAACACGUAACACCCUCUAGAACAUUUCAUGUUCUUAUCUCGUACUGGGCACGCACAGACGUUGAGAGAAAAACUCAUUAUUUUCGGGUUAGGUUGACUCAAACGGGGCCUAUUCGGGUUGGGAUCGAGUUGAAACCCAUGUCGCCGUUGAUGGCUUCUUAGUGUUGGAUUCAAUUUUGGUUGGAUUUUGGCUGGUGUCGGGUUAAAAGGUUAUAGGAGUUGUUGGGUUGAGAAUUGUCGAUAGUGAAGCUGUUGUUAAUUGAAUAAAGAAGAGGAGAAGGUUUAGGCCGGGUAUGUUUGUUGGUGUGGGCCUAGGGGUGUUGGGCUGCUAGAAAUUUGAGGCUAAUUUGGCAAAGUCAAAAGGAAAUUGGGCUUGGGAUGUUUAAUUUGAAGAGUGGGCUGGUAAUUUAAAAAUAAGAAUAAAAUGAAAUUGCGGUUAUUGAAUUGAUGAUCCCAAUCAAAUUAAGAAUUAGUCAAAUCCAUUUAAAUUUUAACCAAAUUGAAGUCAAUUGGCCAAUUUCAUUGCAACGGAAGUCAACUGGACAAUUGCAUUGUAAUUGAAGCCAAUUUUAUUCCAAUUAUAGUCAAUUUAAUAGAUUGACCAAAUUAAAUCGAAACUCAAUACAAGUUAAUACCUCACUUAAUCCCAAGCUUCUUGAUUUGAUAAAAUCAAACACAUAUUUUCUAAAUAAAUUAAUUUUAAGAUAAAAUAUAUGUUGUGAUUUAAUUCAAAACUCAAGAAGCUCGGAAUUAAACUUAGUCGUGGAAGUCAAGAUUAGGUGUCAACAACUGUGCCCUCCCUUUGGGUAGGGUGGAUGCAAGUAACCCUGGGCAAAGGGAGGUUGACGUUCCUAAUUUUUGUCCGACAAUAAAUUCGAAUCUGAAAGACGUUGGUUUUUCACAUGAGUUUCAUGCAGUUAUGGCCGAACCUCGGUAUCAGGUUUCCUAUAUAUCUUAGGUUACAUGAGAAUUCAGGCCACUUGUAGUUCAUAAAGCUUGAUUUUAAGCAUGAUUUUUAGAGAAAAUUUCACUGGCCAUCUCAGUUUUGGAGUUUUUUUAUAAAAUCGAGAAGAUGGGGAAUGAAGGGAUUUGGGGGGAGGUUGGAAUGCAAUUGAUUUUAUACAAAGAUCCCAACCUACAUAUCCCCAAGAUUUCAGGGAAUCAGACUACUUGUAGUUCGACUCGAUUGGUAAAAAAGAUAGUCUUCUAUUUCAGAGGAUCUUUGGCUCGGGAUAAGUGAAAAGUUAAUGAGUUGUGGAAAAGAGGCUUGUAACCUCUUAACCAUGAAUGUGAAUCUCUUCACAUCCAUAGGUAAGAAUUUACGUGGGCAUAAUCUCCAAAACUCUAGGAGUCCUAUCACUCAAAUUUGGAAGAAAGAGAAGGUUACCCUCGAUUUGAGUUAAGAAAUAUCUAGGAGUUGAAGCUAAAAUUUAGAACAUCCCAAAAUACCCACAAGCCUUCUAACAGGGGUGUGGUUGGAUAGUAGUGGCGAUCAUCCUUUAGCUCGCGUCCAAAGAGUUUGACGUCCCUCUCUAGACUACGUCCCAUUUUGCUGCUAAGAAAGAGUUCCACGUUGUGUUGUACCUUUUUUGGAGUCGUCCACACCUGUGGGUUUGAUUUAAGAAUUUUAUCCUCUUGGAUGCUCUCGACAAUAUCUCAAACAAUAUUGUUAGUGCUAAACAUAAUUCACGAAAUAAGUAGGUAGCCUUUUACCAUAUCUCCACGUGAGUUGUGGCCUGAAAAGCAGAAUCAUCUCUUUAUGUACCUAUUUGGAAUGAAAUAACUGACAACAACAAACACAACAACCCUCUUGGUUGUUGUGUAAUUAUGACAUUUAUUGGUUGAAUAUGCCUUCAAAGUGGGGUGGCCCUUUUGGACACCAGUGAUAAUUUAUGCCGAAUGGUCCCUGCAACCGUGUAAUCUUGUGCUGGUGUGGCAACCCUUUUGGUUACCUAUAUCACUUGCUGUAUGUGGAAUGAUAACCUCUCCGGUUAUAGCCGAUGAUCGACUUAUGAAUUUUCUUUAAAUUAUCAAUCUUUGGAUAAUCUUGCGCAUUAUUUGAUAUUGGAUACGAGGCAACUUAUAGAUAUCCUUUGAAUUUCUAGCUUUUAGGUAAUCCUGCACAUUAUCCAACUUUGGAUAAGAGAUGGCUUACAGAUAUCCCUCCAAUCGCUAGCUUUCAAGGGUUCCUGCACAUCAUCCGACCUUGGAUACAAUAUGACUUAUAGAUAAUCUCUCAAAUUGUUAGUCUUUGGGUAAUCCUGCACAUACUCGAUCUUGGAUAUGACGUGGCUUAUAUAGAACCCUUGGACGUAUCAAUUUGAUAAUCUUGCAUAUUCUUCAAUAAGGAUUUAGUUGUGACUUACAGAUAACCUUUGAACUAUUGAUUUUAGGGCGAUCUUGCACACUAUCCAGUUAGGAUGUUGUUGUGGCUUACGGAUAGCCUACAGGCUAUCAACUCAUAGGUGAUCUUCCACGCUAUCUUAUUUCAAAUAGUAUGACUUAUAGAUGACCCUUAAAUUGUCAAUUUCUAGGAAAUCUUAUAUAUCAUUCAUCCUUAGAUAGCGACUUAAAGGUGUCCCUUCAAAUCAUGUGCUCUCGAUGUAUUCAAAUGCUGAUUCAUAAAAUGAUGAGAUAUCCUCACUGCUAGUAUUUAUGUCUUGGGUGUCACCAGAUAUAAAAUGAUGAUGAUAUCCUCAGCGCCAGCAUUGUCUCUUGUAUGUCAACAGAUAUAUUGAAUGUUGAUGAUAUCCUCAAUGCCAGUGUUGUGUCUAGCGCAUCAACAGAUAUUGAAUGAUGAUGAUAUCCUCGAUAUCAGCAUUGUGUAUUGCAUGUCAACAGAUAUAUUGAAUGCUGAUGAUAUCCUCGACGCCAGCAUUGUGUCUAGCGCGUCAACAGAUAUUGAAUGAUGAUGAUAUCCUUGAUGCCAGCGUUGUGUGUUGCGUGUCAACAAAUAUAUUAAAUACUGAUGGUAUACUCGAUACCAACGUUGUGUCUAGCAAGUCAACAGAUAUUAAAUAUUGAUGAUAUCCUCGACGCCAGCGUUGUGUCUAGCGCGUCAAUUGAUAUUGAAUAGCCUUCUUGAGCAAUGGUAUGAAAUGGCCCUCUCGGCAAUGAUAUGCAAUGUCUCUCUUGGCAAUGAUAUGCAAUGGCCUUUUUCGCAAUGAUAUGCAAUAGCCCUCUUGGUGAUGAUAUGCAAUAGCCCUCUUGGUAAUGAUAUGCAAUGGCCCUCUUGUCAAUGAUAUGCAAUGGCCCUCUUGGCACUUUAAAACAAUUUCACCUGAGUUUGUUUGUCUGCGUCUUGCUUUCUACAUAUACCUGUACUCAAAGGUAGACGAUUAGUAGACACAAAUUCGCUUUUGCUAGCAACCAUUUUUUUAGAAAAAUUCUAAAUACAAUAUUUAUAAAGUAGACAAGACACUUUUGUUUAUCCUCCAUGAUCUCAAGAAAUGAGAUGGACAAUUCGAAAGGUCGUUAAUAAAUGGGUGUUGAGCCAUUUUUUGGGCUACCAAAAGUACCGUUAUUAAGCCUUAUAUGCUCUGUCAUGGAUCCCGACUUGCUUGGGGAUUUUUUGAAAGAAACACUCAUUUUGUGUAUCGAUCCCUGCAUCCAUAAAAAAUGAUUAGUUUGAAAGAAACUACUCCGUGUUGACCUCCUACGAUCCUUGAUUUUCCCUCGCCAUCUUUCAGGUAUUUCAUCAUGUUGGGACUUCCACCCCUGACUCCCUGUCCUAAUUGAUGUCUAGGCAAUCGCUAAGUAAAAGAUUUAUAUAGUUUUUUUGAAAGUACUCUUAAUAUUUUAGAAAAUAGUUUCGAGAACUCCUGCAAAACUUUGAAAAAUCUCUGCUAGUCAUGUCAUGUGCUAGAUCAACGACAGUCUUUCUCUUGAUUCUGACAAUGUCCGAUAUUUGACGGAGGAUUGAUAGGGAUUCAGCAUUGUCGAGGCUCUCUACCAGAAGUUUUAUCAAAGACGGAGAUUUAUUCUUCCUAGAUUUAUCACAGGUGAUGAUCCUCAAAUCUCAACUUCGACCUCUAGUGCUGGGGAAUUUCAAAUAUAUUUUAAUAUUUGGUGGAGAUUUUGAGGCCUUCCUCAAAAUUUCUGCCCCAGUUUGACUUAGCGUGAGAUGAUAUCAUUUCGAGUGGAUCUGAAGUCUUUGCUGAUCUUCAUCCUCUUUGUUGGAUGUUGAUCUUUUCUUGUGAAUUUUUGAGAUUUCUUCUCGAAAAUUCUACCCCAGUUUCCAUUUCCUAGGGUUAUAUGACCAAGCCGUUGGGGUGCCUACAUAUCCCACUGGAGCAGGAAUCAGAUCAAACUUAGUUCAAGACUACGCUAAGGAUAUAUAUAGAAAAAAAAAUCUAACGGAAAGACCAAAACCGACAUAGGCCGCCUACAUAUCCCUUUCUUGGGAAUUCAGGUCAAACGUAGUUCGUACAUAAACUCAUAAUGGCCCUAAAAAUACUCUUACCCAUCUUACUAGGAUAUAAAUAAGUACUUAUAUGGAUGAUAUGACCUUUGCAUUGCGUUUGUCUUGAUAGAGCAAAGGACCAAAUGUCCAAUGGAGUCAUCGCCUUCCUAGUUAACCACCUCGGUUUUCUCUAGAUUAGGCUUCUUUGAUUCUUAGACUCUUUGACUCUUCAUUUUACUGUUCUAGGGCUACCAUUAUAUUCUUGACAUGACAUGACAAUGGCUGGUUUUAAGUUACUGUUAUACGACGGGCGAUGAGUCAUGAGUGGAGUCGAGGUCUAAUUUAAUAAUGUUUCCUCCAAUUAAUCUUCCAUGAUUUCGAUUGUUUUGGAAAAUUAUUCCCUCAUAUUUUCCCUUAUUCCAUCCUCGAGACUAUCUCUUACAGGGUUGAAAAAUGAUUGGUAGAGUCUAGUUUUACUGCUAGUCAUUUUUCUUUUCCUGUAACAAAGCUAUAGUCAAGAAGCGGAUCUCUUAUUCAUUUCGAUCUGGUGAAGUAGGGUCAUUUUGUGCCAACACAGAGUAGUUUCUAUUACCUGCAAAGUAAAAACCACUCAAACACUGACGUGUUAAUUUCCGUUAGUAAUAAGUAAAGAAAGAUGAUAAGGUAGGAAGUAAACACAUAGAGUUGUUUCUCAUCUCAUGCGAAUAGAUCCAUGAAGUAAUGAUGACUCGAGGAUUUUAAUGAAAAGGAUUUUGCUCAAUGAUAUAGAUAGGUGGAAUUUUUCGGGAAGGUUUAACUAUUCUUCAUCCUUCAAGAAAGUGGAGGACAACAGAGCUUUUGAAGAUAUGGGCCGGGCUAAAAGGCUGCCUACGUAUCUCACGAAGGAGAAAUCAGGCCCUACAUAGUUCAAAACUAUAACAGCUUUUUCUGAUUCUAAAGUCCACUUUCCUAAAAUGGUAGCUAUCAUUUUGGAAGUUUUAAGAAUGACUAUGGACUUUUCUGAGAAACUUGGGAGACUUGGAGUACUUUUAGUCAGACUUUUGUAUAGUGGGGUAUAUUUCUGCCCAGAGAUGUUCUAUGGAAAAUGGAAUUGGAUUAGUUCGCCUUUGAUUCGAAUCAACAUAACACGUAUAAGCACAUAAAUAGUUAUAUUACACAAACAUAUUGUAAUAAACGUACAUCCUAAUUAGGUGACCCUUUUGAGCCAAGGGUUUGGGCCUAACGAUUUUUGAAGAAAAAAUAUAUGCUUGCUUAAGGUCAAUCCAUUAUCCCCCAACUUUUAUAGACUCUAAAAGGGCAUAAAUUCCUACAAAAGAUAACGAAAGAGGGAUACAAUCUUUAGGGAAAGGGAAAUAACAUGAAAGAAGAUACGUUCCCACACAGAGGAUAAAAAAUACUAAUUCCUAAGUGCUUCUUCUAUCAGCCUUCCCUUUCUUAGCUUCAUCCAUUUCUUAUAUUGGUGACAUCCGUUGACGUUCAAACUGUGCCUUAAAUGCAACCUCCCUAAUCGAUCAAUUUCUUGCUUAACUUGCUUCAAUUCUUCUUACGAAAGUAAGCAAAUCAAGUUUUUUCCCGACCCCCAAAGGAUAAUGGAUUGAAUUAGACAGGCAUACAUUUUCUUCAACACAUAAAUAUGGUUCGUCUAUAAUUGACUUGGGCUUAAUAGACGUAAGGCAGGUUUUCUAAUAGUCUCAAUACCCCGCUCGGGUAUUGGGUCAUCCUAGGCUCAUGCCUAAAACAGGGUUUUGGUUUCGUUUUAUCUUCGAUGUCUAAAGUGGGUUUGAACACUGGUUCUCAAGAGGACAACUUGAGUUUGAAGAUACAUACAGCCAUCAGACGACUAACAUGCUAAUAAGUCAUUCAUAUUUUCAACAUAUUUUUGAAAGUGAACAACAGGGGCCGGGACAUCCACGAAACCCCAAAACAGUUAAAUAAUGUAGGAAUAUGCCAUGAGAUGCGAUAAUUGAACUUUACAAAAUCAAAACACAUAAACGCAUAAACAAUUAAUCAAAAUAAAAAAAUCAAACAUGUGGUUAGAAACUAGUUAAAGAUCCCCAGCAGAGUUGUCAUUUCUAUUUUGACGAAAAUUUUGGACUUUUGAGAGAAGAGUCGCCACUUAAUUUUGAAAAGAAAUUAAGAAACCUUUGUAAUGUACUUAGACGAUUCAAAACAGAAAAUUGUUUUAAGGUAGAGAUUCUAGAUAAGCGGUUCCAAUUAACGUUUUAGGAAGGUGUUAGGCACCUAAAACGUCUGCUAACUUGCGGUUAUCUGAACUGUUUGAAAAUCAUCUUUUGAUUAACUUCGAAAAAUCAAUUUGUUGGAAAAUAGUUGAUUAAGGAAAAGUUUUUGCAAAAUCAGUUUUUAGCGACUUAGUUAGGGAUUUAAUUAGGUUCGCAAAGAAGCACGUAAAUAAGUAAGCAAAAAGGAAAAGGGAAAAGGGGAGGAGAAGUGAUUCAGGCUUCCAAGCCCAAACCGUCGAUCUUGUCCUAAGCUAUUUGGGUUUUUCAACCCAUUUCACCUGUCCUAGUCUAAUUCUCGAGCCUUUGACUCGAAUCUUGCUCUACCUGUAUUAAAUACAACUUUGGCUUCGUGACCCAAAUGAACGAAUAAAACAUAAAUAACUAAAUAAAUAAAGACAACAAUGAAGAGUGAUAAAAUGAACAAAUAAAAUGGAAAAACCGAGACUUUCAAGUCUCUUGGCUGCUUCGAAUAUGGAACUUUAACCCAUUUUCUCUUUUGACUCCUCAUAUUCAUGCGCUAUUUUAACCAACUUUGGGCUCUCUUUUGGGACUGACUUGGUGAGAUGGGCCUCGUUGGCCCAUGAUGAACAUGCAAGAGGGAAGGAAUCCAUAGGACUCAAUCGAUGGGUUCAUGCAAAGAAAAGGAUAAAAGAAUUAACAUAUGUGCUCAAGAUUUUAACAAGUACUGAAAUAUCAGAUUCAUGCUUCAUUCAAAUACAUUCAUACACAAGUAAGAGUGCCACGGGGGAUAAGUUCUAUAAAGUUUGAAGAAUACGUUCAUAAGAGAUUAAGGAAGUUCCCACUACAGGAGGGAAUAAAGCUCAAAAAAGGGUUCUUAUAAUCCUUAGCGAAUAAGACAAACAAUUUAUCACUUUAAUACCAUGAGAUUUAUCAACCAAGCAUGUCACAAAGAAAAGAUUUCAUAAGACAGUCAUAAGGAUGUAAACCAGUCAAGAGAAAUACGAUAAAACACGCUAGGAAAGAAAUAACAAUGACUGUUUUCUCAAACGAAGUUCGAAUCCUGGUUCCUUACAAGACUAAAAGGAUAUCAAAAUAUUAAUUUAAUUAAUUCAUUAGUGAUUAAUACUCAAGGGGAGAAAGAAUUAUAAAGCCAACAAGUUGAUUUCAUACUACAUAAACCAUGGAUCGCACAAGCAACGUUCAGGUUUCAGAAUUCCAAACAUACAAGAGUUACAUACUUAAUCACUCCAGGAGAGGAAAACAAAAACCGAAACUUCAAAUAAUUAAAGCCUAAAUCGUAAUUUUUUUUCAACUGUGUUAUCAAACCCAUGAGCUUUAAACAGCAUACAAACCUUUUAAAAUAUAUAUGACAUAUGUAAGAUUAUGCUCUGUCAUCAAAAAGGAAAUCGAAUUUCGGAUGAUUCAAGCGUGAGAUGAGGUGCCACAAUUUUCUCAUAUGCGAAUCAAGGAAGGCAAGAAAGGAAAGAAAGCCUUAUCCAAUAAAAUUUUUAAUCCGUUCUCAUGAGACAAUUACAGUACAUUUAAUUAUGGUAAUCAAAAUUAGCCAUGACGAAGACAUAAUUUGGCCCUGUAGUCCAUU
Molecule: long non-coding RNA, 9431 nt
Filed under: Capsicum annuum
Lineage: Eukaryota; Viridiplantae; Streptophyta; Magnoliopsida; Solanales; Solanaceae
Description: long non-coding RNA (CANN_LNC019572)
Source: RNAcentral